UGCUCACUUUGUUUGACAUGGACCAGUCAGUUUAAUGAGGUUGUAGAGUAGUUCAUUGUUGAGAAAAGUUGCAGAAAACUUCAGAAUCCAUUAGAUAACAUGGCACACCCUUCUUUUAAAACUGUAUGUAAAGGCACAGCACUUCUGUUCUUUGUCAUUCUUCUGGAAUUGACUGCACAAACUCAUACAGAUAUCACAUCACUCCCCGUCAUUUCAAACAUUUCUUCAACUAAGUUUGAAACAUCUCCUCAAACUCCUCCUACAA
Molecule: long non-coding RNA, 265 nt
Organism: Cyprinus carpio (common carp)
Lineage: Eukaryota; Metazoa; Chordata; Actinopteri; Cypriniformes; Cyprinidae
Exons: 3
Source: RefSeq, a predicted model, not a curated record